GAAAGGUUGUCAUGGCAACUUGUGACAAACAUGCACACGUAUUAAUGACACUAAUGUGUGAAUUUGUAUAUUUUUAAUUUCUUUAACAAGUACUACCAAAUGUGAGACUUUAAUUGUUUCAAACUAAAAAGAAACGAAUUUAUUGGUAUCUUGUCUAGUAUAGCUAAAUGGUUGUAAAAGCAUAUGCAUCUGUCGAUAGAAAUUUGUAUCAAACAAUACAAAUUUAUUGUGUGCAUACUACAUAGGCAGUAGAUUUACUGAACCUAUUCUAUUUUGUUUGCUGCUUAGGAAUGUCCAGCGGGAAGAUGAGAGGAGAGAUGAAGAAAAAAUGGACCUCCUAUUCUGCUCGAGGCUUGUCUUUGCGGUUCCAGUGGUGCCACGGCACGCUCCUCUGUGGCUGCUGCACCUCUACCUCAACCAGGAAAGUGGUGCUGCAGCUCUGAUGGCUCUGGCCUUGGUUGCAGUUGUCGUUGGCCGUCGCAAAGGUUGUUCAGGGCUCACAGGUUUCAGACUAGCUGGAAAAUUUAACACUCAAAGGUGUGAGUGAAUGCUUUAUUCUCUGCAUUGCGUGAUGUUUUGGUUUGUGUGGUAACUCGGGAUCUCAUCACUGGAUCAGUAUAUCUAGUUGGCACCGAUAACUAGAUGCACCUCCACUCAACGAGCUGCUGCUCGAUCCCCUAUACCAGCCUAGUUGCAGGACGCCUCAAGUUCCAUAUGCUCCAUCAGUUGAACAAGUGGACAAGAUUCUGGCUCUGUGCUUGGCGCAAAUUCUUCAGUUCUACCGUGAGGUCAACGAGACGAGUAGAGCAUGGAGAAGCAAAUAUUAAA
Lolium rigidum is the source of this 828-nucleotide long non-coding RNA. RefSeq lists it as uncharacterized. The transcript is spliced from 3 exons. NCBI's taxonomy places the organism in Eukaryota, Viridiplantae, Streptophyta, Magnoliopsida, Poales, Poaceae. The record is from RefSeq and is a predicted model, not a curated record.